RNAcentral lists this ribosomal RNA (1429 nucleotides) under Parmelia saxatilis. RNAcentral's name for it is "eukaryotic LSU rRNA". It matches the Rfam family "Eukaryotic large subunit ribosomal RNA", at positions 1 to 1102 of the family's 3401-position model. The record is from RNAcentral. Lineage: Eukaryota; Fungi; Ascomycota; Lecanoromycetes; Lecanorales; Parmeliaceae.
AAUUGACCUCGGAUCAGGUAGGGAUACCCGCUGAACUUAAGCAUAUCAAUAAGCGGAGGAAAAGAAACCAACAGGGAUUGCCUCAGUAACGGCGAGUGAAGCGGCAUCAGCUCAAAUUUGAAAUCUGGCUCCUUCGGGGUCCGAGUUGUAAUUUGUAGAGAGUGCUUCGGGGGAGAGUGCGGUCUAAGUCCGUUGGAACACGGCGUCAUAGAGGGUGAGAAUCCCGUAUGCGACCGCGGCUCGAGCCCGUGUGAAGCCUCUUCGACGAGUCGAGUUGUUUGGGAAUGCAGCUCAAAAUGGGUGGUAAAUUUCAUCUAAAGCUAAAUACUGGCUGGAGACCGAUAGCGCACAAGUAGAGUGAUCGAAAGAUGAAAAGCACUUUGGAAAGAGAGUUAAACAGUACGUGAAAUUGUUGAAAGGGAAGCGCUGGCAACCAGACCUGUCCGUAGGUGAUCAGCCGCUGUUCUCAGUGGUGCACUCGCUCUGCGAUCAGGCCAGCAUCGGUUCUGGCGGUCGGAUAAAGGCCUUGGGAAUGUAGCUUCACUUUGGGGGAGUCUUAUAGCCCUCGGUGCAAUGCGGCCAGCCGGGACCGAGGACCGCGCUUCGGCUAGGAUGCUGGCGUAAUGGUUGUCAGCGACCCGUCUUGAAACACGGACCAAGGAGUCUAACAUCUAUGCGAGUGUUUGGGUGUUAAACCCAUGCGCGGAAUGAAAGUGAACGGAGGUGAGAACCCUUAAGGGCGCAUCAUCGACCGAUCCAGAUGUCUUCGGAUGGAUUUGAGUAUGAGCAUUCAUGUUGGGACCCGAAAGGUAAUGAUCAGUCCUUAUUAUAUUUUAUCGAAUCCAAGCUAAUAGACUUUAUAGAUGGUGAACUAUGCCUGAAUAGGGUGAAGCCAGAGGAAACUCUGGUGGAGGCUCGCAGCGGUUCUGACGUGCAAAUCGAUCGUCAAAUUUGGGUAUAGGGGCGAAAGACUAAUCGAACCAUCGCGCUACAGGUGGUUAAUUAAUGUAUAUCGCGUUCGCGAGUACUUUCAGUCCCUCGGGGCGACAUCACUACUUUGCAUGAACAUAUCUUUGAGAUUGACAUGCUGCAGACCUUUCUUAUCGGGGGUUUGCUCACAGACCAAACAGUGGUGGCCGGGGUUCCCUUUCUUGGGGAACGCCUGGUUCAGAAAUGGCCGAGUUCUGCUCUUAAGGGAGUUGGUCUCGGGGCCGUGGAUUUAAUUCCGAGUCGAAAUCACUCGAUCGGUCGUGGGAUCUUAUAGUACAAACGCUAGUAGCUGGUUCCUGCCGAAGUUUCCCUCAGGAUAGCAGUAACGUUUUCAGUUUUAUGAGGUAAAGCGAAUGAUUAGAGGCCUUGGGGUUGRAACAACCUUAACCUAUUCUCAAACUUUAAAUAUGUAAGAAGUCCUUGUUACUUAGUUGAACGU